AUGAAAGUGAAAAUUUUGCAUGAAAGUAUUAGUGAGUACGACAUACUGUUCACAUUGGUCGUGGAGGAAGUCGGUGAUGCCUACAUUCUUAGCCAAAUAAUAGAAAUCCUCAUAAAUUCUGGCUGCCUCCAAGAAUGUAUCACUUGGCCAUUCACACGGUCGGACCUCCGUGGUGCGAGGAAGGUUGUACUUGGGAUUUUCAUUCACCUUUUCCUUCGAACCCCGGAUCGAGGAGCCUCUCAACAAUCUCCUCAACAUUUUCUUCCUCUGAAAUUUUUAGUGACUCAAAAUAAAAGUGAACCAAACCCAACAAGAUUGAUAGCAACUACUCCCACAAGUGCCUAG
RNAcentral lists this ribosomal RNA (345 nucleotides) under Triticum aestivum (bread wheat). RNAcentral describes it as "partial small subunit ribosomal RNA". The record is from RNAcentral. Lineage: Eukaryota; Viridiplantae; Streptophyta; Magnoliopsida; Poales; Poaceae.